CGGCGGACGGGUGAGUAACGCGUGGGUAACCUGCCUCAUACAGGGGGAUAACAGUUAGAAAUAGACUGCUAAUACCGCAUAAGACCACGGUACCGCAUGGUACAGUGGUAAAAACUCCGGUGGUAUGAGAUGGACCCGCGUCUGAUUAGGUAGUUGGUGGGGUAACGGCCUACCAAGCCGACGAUCAGUAGCCGACCUGAGAGGGUGACCGGCCACAUUGGGACUGAGACACGGCCCAG
This 239-nucleotide ribosomal RNA is filed under the name uncultured bacterium. RNAcentral describes it as "partial 16S ribosomal RNA". It matches the Rfam family "Bacterial small subunit ribosomal RNA", at positions 96 to 334 of the family's 1533-position model. The record is from RNAcentral.